UUUAAAGUCCCUACACUUAACCAUUUUCAAGUGACUAAGUCACCAGCCAAACCAUAUUCAAAAUAAAAAAUUCUCUUUAAAGUUCCUACACUUAACCAUUUUCAAGCGACUAAGUCACCAACAAAACCACAUUCAAAAUAAAAAAAUCCUCUUUAAAGUUCAUACACUUAACCAUUUUCGAGUAACUAAGUCACUAACCAAACCACAUUCAAAAUAAAAAAUCUCCUUUAAAGUCCUUACACUAUACCAUUUUCAAGCAACUAAGUCACCAAUCAAACCACAUUCAAAACAUAAAAUCCCCUUGAAAGUCCCUAUACUUAACCAUUUUCAAGUGUCUAAGUCACCAACCAAACCACAUUCAAAUCACAAAAUUCCCUUUAAAGUCCAUAUACUUAACCGUUUUGAAGUGACUAAGUCACCAACCAAACCACAUUCAAAACAAAAAAUCUUCUUUAAAGUUCCAACACAACCAUUUUCAAAUAACUAAGUCACCAAUCAAACCAUAUUCAAAACAAAAAAAAAAUUCCUUUAAAGUCCCUACACUUAACCACAUUCAAUACAAAAGAAAAUUCUUUAAAGUCCCUACACUUAACCAUUUUCAAGUAAAUAAGUCACCAACCAAACCACAUUCUAAACACAAAAUCUCCUUUAAUGUCCCUGCACUUAACAAUUUUCAAGUGACUAAGUCAACAACUAAACCACAUUCAAAACACAAAAUUCCCUUUAAAAUCGCUACACUUAACUAUUUUCAAGUGACUAAGUCACCAACCUAACCACAUUAAAAAUAAAAAAUCUCCUUUAAAGUCACUACACUUAAUCAUUUCAAGUAACUAAGUCACCAACCAAACCACAUUCAAAAUACAAAAUCCCCUUUAAUGUCCCUACACUUAAUCAUUUUCAAGUGACUAAGUCACCAACCAAAUCGCAUUCAAAACAUAAAAUCCCCUUUAAAGUCCUACACUUUACCAUUUUUAAGUGACUACGUCACCUAGCUAACUACAUUCAAUAAAAAAAAAUCCCCUUUAAAGUCCCUACACUUAACCAUUUUUAAGUAGCUACGUCACCAACCAAACCAUAUUCUAAACACAUAAUCUCCUUUAAAUUCUCUACACUUAACCAUUUUCAAGCGACUAAGUCACCAACAAAACCACAUUCAAAAUAAAAAAAUCCUCUUUAAAGUUCGUACACUUAACCAUUUUCGAGUAACUAAGUCACUAACCAAACCACAUUCAAAUCAAAAAAUUCCCUUUAAAG
This 1254-nucleotide long non-coding RNA is filed under the name Capsicum annuum. RNAcentral's name for it is "long non-coding RNA (CANN_LNC015105)". Lineage: Eukaryota; Viridiplantae; Streptophyta; Magnoliopsida; Solanales; Solanaceae. The record is from RNAcentral.